GACGAACGCUGGCGGCGUGCCUAAUACAUGCAAGUUGAGCGCUGAAGGUUGGUACUUGUACCAACUGGAUGAGCAGCGAACGGGUGAGUAACGCGUGGGGAAUCUGCCUUUGAGCGGGGGACAACAUUUGGAAACGAAUGCUAAUACCGCAUAAAAACUUUAAACACAAGUUUUAAGUUUGAAAGAUGCAAUUGCAUCACUCAAAGAUGAUCCCGCGUUGUAUUAGCUAGUUGGUGAGGUAAAGGCUCACCAAGGCGAUGAUACAUAGCCGACCUGAGAGGGUGAUCGGCCACAUUGGGACUGAGACACGGCCCAAACUCCUACGGGAGGCAGCAGGAGGGAAACUUCGGCAAUGGACGAAAGUCUGACCGAGCAACGCCGCGGGAGGGAAGAAGGUUUUCGGAUCGUAAAACUCUGUUGGUAGAGAAGAACGUUGGUGAGAGUGGAAAGCUCAUCAAGUGACGGUAACUACACAGAAAGGGACGGCUAACUACGUG
RNAcentral lists this ribosomal RNA (497 nucleotides) under uncultured bacterium. RNAcentral's name for it is "partial 16S ribosomal RNA". It matches the Rfam family "Bacterial small subunit ribosomal RNA", at positions 28 to 507 of the family's 1533-position model. The record is from RNAcentral.